Molecule: ribosomal RNA, 389 nt
Filed under: uncultured bacterium
Lineage: Bacteria
Description: bacterial SSU rRNA
Rfam family: Bacterial small subunit ribosomal RNA
Source: RNAcentral
AUUGAACGCUGGCGGCAUGCCUUACACAUGCAAGUCGAACGGCAGCACGGGAGCAAUCCUGGUGGCGAGUGGCGAACGGGUGAGUAAUAUAUCGGAACGUGCCCAGUCGUGGGGAUAACGUAGCGAAAGCUACGCUAAUACCGCAUACGAUCUAUGGAUGAAAGCGGGGGAUCGCAAGACCUCGCGCGAUUGGAGCGGCCGAUAUCAGAUUAGGUAGUUGGUGAGGUAAAGGCUCGCCAAGCCGACGAUCUGUAGCUGGUCUGAGAGGACGACCAGCCACACUGGGACUGAGACACGGGCCCCAGACUCCUACGGGAGGCAGCAGUGGGGAAUUUUUGGACAAUUGGGCGCAAGCCUGAUCCAGCAAUGCCGCGUGCAGGAUGAAGGCC